UGGUGACCUGAGACUCCCCGGCUGUCUCUCUGUCCCAGGCCCGUCCUGGCCGUGGGCACAGGCUGAGUCGUGGUAGAGUCUGUGAGGUCCUGACCC
Molecule: microRNA precursor, 96 nt
Filed under: Canis lupus familiaris (dog)
Lineage: Eukaryota; Metazoa; Chordata; Mammalia; Carnivora; Canidae
Also listed under: 1 other name
Description: mir-8813 microRNA precursor family
Rfam family: mir-8813 microRNA precursor family
Source: Rfam by way of RNAcentral